AUUGAACGCUGGCGGCAUGCCUUACACAUGCAAGUCGAACGGCAGCACGGGAGCAAUCCUGGUGGCGAGUGGCGAACGGGUGAGUAAUAUAUCGGAACGUGCCCAGUCGUGGGGGAUAACGUAGCGAAAGCUACGCUAAUACCGCAUACGAUCUAUGGAUGAAAGCGGGGGAUCGCAAGACCUCGCGCGAUUGGAGCGGCCGAUAUCAGAUUAGGUAGUUGGUGAGGUAAAGGCUCACCAAGCCGACGAUCUGUAGCUGGUCUGAGAGGACGACCAGCCACACUGGGACUGAGACACGGCCCAGACUCUACGGGAGGCAGCAGUGGGGAAUUUUUGGGACAAUGGACGCAAGUCUGAUCCAGCAAUGCCGCGUGCAGGAUGAAGG
RNAcentral lists this ribosomal RNA (385 nucleotides) under uncultured bacterium. Its description in RNAcentral is "bacterial SSU rRNA". It matches the Rfam family "Bacterial small subunit ribosomal RNA", at positions 30 to 414 of the family's 1533-position model. The record is from RNAcentral.